Molecule: ribosomal RNA, 253 nt
Filed under: uncultured Methylobacterium sp.
Lineage: Bacteria; Pseudomonadati; Pseudomonadota; Alphaproteobacteria; Hyphomicrobiales; Methylobacteriaceae
Description: partial 16S ribosomal RNA
Rfam family: Bacterial small subunit ribosomal RNA
Source: RNAcentral
UACGAAGGGGGCUAGCGUUGCUCGGAAUCACUGGGCGUAAAGGGCGCGUAGGCGGCCGAUUAAGUCGGGGGUGAAAGCCUGUGGCUCAACCACAGAAUUGCCUUCGAUACUGGUUGGCUUGAGACCGGAAGAGGACAGCGGAACUGCGAGUGUAGAGGUGAAAUUCGUAGAUAUUCGCAAGAACACCAAUGGCGAAGGCGGCUGUCUGGUCCGGUUCUGACGCUGAGGCGCGAAAGCGUGGGGAGCAAACAGG